RNAcentral lists this ribosomal RNA (253 nucleotides) under uncultured bacterium. RNAcentral describes it as "partial 16S ribosomal RNA". It matches the Rfam family "Bacterial small subunit ribosomal RNA", at positions 524 to 776 of the family's 1533-position model. The record is from RNAcentral. RNAcentral also lists the same sequence under 2 other names.
UACGUAGGCAGCAAGCGUUGUUCGGAGUUACUGGGCGUAAAGGGUGUGUAGGCGGUCUCGUAAGUCUGGUGUGAAAUCUCCCGGCUCAACUGGGAGGGUGCGCCGGAAACUGCGAGGCUAGAGUGUGGGAUGGGAGAGUGGAAUUCCUGGUGUAGCGGUGAAAUGCGUAGAUAUCAGGAGGAACACCUGCGGUGUAGACGGCUCUCUGGACCACUACUGACGCUGAAACACGAAAGCGUGGGUAGCAAACAGG